Molecule: long non-coding RNA, 334 nt
Organism: Anopheles bellator
Lineage: Eukaryota; Metazoa; Arthropoda; Insecta; Diptera; Culicidae
Exons: 3
Source: RefSeq, a predicted model, not a curated record
AAACAACUGCACAGUGGCCGAUUUUACAAAAGUGCUUAAAUAAACGACAUAUUGCAGGCAAAAUAAAAGCUUCAGCAUUUAUUAAGAAAGAGAACGGUGUUGAAACCGCAAGACUAUCCGAUAGUGUCGGCCGAUGUUGAUGCUUUGGUUGCUCUAACGCGCGACGGUUCCGGGCAAUAUAAACUUCAAACAAUCUUCGAUUUCACCGGUUUUGAGAUUAGUUGUGCUCGAUGUGCGAAGCGCGCUUAAAAACUAUGGAUCUGUUUCGCUGGCGAUGCAAUGAAAAGAAUGAUUUGGUCGAUAAAUUUACCGAACAGCAGAACACAGCAAGAAU